Molecule: ribosomal RNA, 378 nt
Filed under: uncultured eukaryote
Lineage: Eukaryota
Description: partial 18S ribosomal RNA
Rfam family: Eukaryotic small subunit ribosomal RNA
Source: RNAcentral
CAAUAGCGUAUAUUUAAGUUGUUGCAGUUAAAAAGCUCGUAGUUGGAUUUCGGGUGGGACGCAGCGGUCUCGCAUUGUGUUUGUACUGCUGCAGCCCUCCUUCUUGCCGGGGGCGGCCUCUCGGACUUCACUGUCUGGGGGUCAGAAUCGGCGAUGUUACUUUGAGUAAAUUAGAGUGUUCAAAGCAAGCUUACGCUCUGAAUAUAAUAGCAUGGGAUAACACGACAGGACUCUGGCCUAUCGUGUUGGUCUAUAGGACCAGAGUAAUGAUUAAGAGGGACAGUCGGGGGCAUUCGUAUUCCGUUGUCAGAGGUGAAAUUCUUGGAUUUACGGAAGACGAACAUCUGCGAAAGCAUUUGCCAAGGAUGUUUUCAUUGA